RNAcentral lists this ribosomal RNA (253 nucleotides) under uncultured bacterium. Its description in RNAcentral is "partial 16S ribosomal RNA". It matches the Rfam family "Bacterial small subunit ribosomal RNA", at positions 524 to 776 of the family's 1533-position model. The record is from RNAcentral.
UACGGAGGAGGCAAGCGUUAUCCGGAAUUAUUGGGCGUAAAGCGUCCGCAGGUGGCAAUGUAAGUCUGCUGUCAAAGCGUCUGGCUCAACCAGAUAAAGGCAGUGGAAACUACAUAGCUAGAGUAAGGUAGGGGUAGAGGGAAUUCCUGGUGUAGCGGUGAAAUGCGUAGAGAUCAGGAAGAACACCGGUGGGGAAAGCGCUCUGCUGGACCUUAACUGACACUGAGGGACGAAAGCUAGGGGAGCGAAUGGG